Molecule: transfer RNA, 69 nt
Filed under: Rattus norvegicus (Norway rat)
Lineage: Eukaryota; Metazoa; Chordata; Mammalia; Rodentia; Muridae
Rfam family: tRNA
About the family: Transfer RNA (tRNA) molecules are approximately 80 nucleotides in length. Their secondary structure includes four short double-helical elements and three loops (D, anti-codon, and T loops).
Source: Rfam by way of RNAcentral
GGGGGUUUAGCUCAGCGGUAGAGCACUUGCCUAGCAAGCGCAAGGCCCUGGGUUCGAUCCCCAGCUCCA